This 1890-nucleotide ribosomal RNA is filed under the name Triticum aestivum (bread wheat). RNAcentral's name for it is "partial small subunit ribosomal RNA". Lineage: Eukaryota; Viridiplantae; Streptophyta; Magnoliopsida; Poales; Poaceae. The record is from RNAcentral.
AUGGGUACACUCCUCGUAAAUUCAGUACCAGCAUCCGUUUUAUUUGAUACAGGAGCAUCCCAUUCAUUCAUAUCUGCAGAAUUUGCAUUCCUGCAUGGCAUUAAUUACGAAGAGAUAAACACUCCGCUAGUGGUACACACCCCUGCGGGCCAAUGUCAAACCACUAUGGUUAGUCACGAUGUUACUGUUGAAAUUGAAGGACUGGAAUUUCUUGUCUCUCCCAUCGUACUGAAGUCCUGUAGCAUUGAUCUCAUUCUGGGAAUGAAUUGGUUAAAAGCGCAUACUGCUUCAAUCGUUUGCACCACUAAGACCGUCCAUCUGCUACACCCUUCAGAUGAGAUAGUUACUUACCAAGCCCAUCUGGUGCAAAAUGCCGAGGCAAGGCUCUAUGCAUUGAAUGCAUUGAACGCUGCACCACUCGAGGGCAUUGAAAACAUUCCCGUCGUGCGUGAAUUCCUCGAUGUCUUCCCUGAAGAACUUCCAGGGAUUCCCCCUGCUAGAGCUGUCGAAUUCAUCAUCGACUUGAAACCAGGCACCACUCCUAUAGCAAAGCGACCCUACAAAAUGCCGCCGCAUGAACUCCUUGAGCUUAAGGAGGAAAUCGACAAGUCUCUUCGCAAAGGAUUCAUUCGCCCAAGUUGCUCUCCUUGGGGAGCACCUUCUCUCUUUGUCAAGAAGAAGGAUGGGACAAACCGGUUAGUUCAAGACUACCGUCCUAUAAACCAAGCUACCAUUCAGAAUAAAUACCCUCUUCCUCGGAUCAAUGAUCUGUAUGAUCAACUGGCGGGUUCGUCAGUGUUCUCUAAGCUCGACUUGAGGUUGGGCUACCACCAGAUCCGUGUUCGCGAAGAGGAUAUCCCAAAAACCGCCUUCGUGACUCGCUAUGGUUCAUACGAGUACACCGUCAUGUCUUUCGGUUUAACCAAUGCUCCAGCCACCUUCUCUCGUCUGAUGAACUAUAUAUUCAUGGAUUACCUCGACAAGUUCGUCGUGGUUUAUCUGGAUGAUAUCCUGGUAUUCUCCAAGAACGAAGAAGAACAUGUUGAACAUCUUCGUCUUGUGCUGGAAAAACUACGAGAACAUCAACUAUAUGCCAAGUUCUCUAAAUGUGAAUUCUGGCUACCGGAAGUAACCUAUCUGGGGCAUGUCAUCUCUAAGGAUGGUAUUGCCGUCAACCCCGAGCGAGUUCAGGCUAUUCUUGAUUGGACUCCUCCCAAGAACGUUAAGCAAGUCAGAAGUUUUCUCGGUCUCGCCAGCUAUUGCCGUCGAUUCGUCGAGAACUUCUCUAAGAUCGCCAGGCCUCUGACUAACCUGUUGCAUAAGGGUGUCAAGUUCCAAUGGACAGACAAAUGUCAGGAAAGUUUCCAGGCACUCAAAGACAAGUUGACUUCUGCCCCAGUUCUAGCUCCACCUGAUACUAAGAAGGACUUCAUCAUCUACUGCGACGCUUCCCGUCAAGGAUUAGGCUGUGUCCUAAUGCAAGACCGCAAAGUGAUUGCUUAUGCCUCUCGACAAUUGCGCCCUCACGAAGAGAACUACCCAGUUCACGACCUCGAACUUGCUGCUGUCAUUCAUGCGCUGAAGCAGUGGCGACAUUACCUUCUCGGUAAUCGAUGCGAGAUCUUCACUGACCACCAAAGUCUGAAGUAUCUGUUUACUCAACCAGAUCUGAACCUCCGUCAGCAGAGAUGGAUGGAGCUCGUUGCAGACUUUGACUUGGGUAUUUCCUAUACGCCAGGCAAGGCUAAUGUAAUGGCUGAUGCCUUGAGCCGCAAGUCUUACUGCAACCACCUCCAGGUUCAUAAAGUUCAGCCCUCACUUGUUGAAGAAUUCAGGAAGCUGAACCUCCAUAUUGUUCCUCCGGGUGCACUCGCUCCCCCUCCUAAGUAA